This 2917-nucleotide ribosomal RNA is filed under the name Staphylococcus aureus. RNAcentral's name for it is "bacterial LSU rRNA". It matches the Rfam family "Bacterial large subunit ribosomal RNA". Lineage: Bacteria; Bacillati; Bacillota; Bacilli; Caryophanales; Staphylococcaceae. The record is from RNAcentral.
UAAGUUAUUAAGGGCGCACGGUGGAUGCCUUGGCACUAGAAGCCGAUGAAGGACGUUACUAACGACGAUAUGCUUUGGGGAGCUGUAAGUAAGCUUUGAUCCAGAGAUUUCCGAAUGGGGAAACCCAGCAUGAGUUAUGUCAUGUUAUCGAUAUGUGAAUACAUAGCAUAUCAGAAGGCACACCCGGAGAACUGAAACAUCUUAGUACCCGGAGGAAGAGAAAGAAAAUUCGAUUCCCUUAGUAGCGGCGAGCGAAACGGGAAGAGCCCAAACCAACAAGCUUGCUUGUUGGGGUUGUAGGACACUCUAUACGGAGUUACAAAGGACGACAUUAGACGAAUCAUCUGGAAAGAUGAAUCAAAGAAGGUAAUAAUCCUGUAGUCGAAAAUGUUGUCUCUCUUGAGUGGAUCCUGAGUACGACGGAGCACGUGAAAUUCCGUCGGAAUCUGGGAGGACCAUCUCCUAAGGCUAAAUACUCUCUAGUGACCGAUAGUGAACCAGUACCGUGAGGGAAAGGUGAAAAGCACCCCGGAAGGGGAGUGAAAUAGAACCUGAAACCGUGUGCUUACAAGUAGUCAGAGCCCGUUAAUGGGUGAUGGCGUGCCUUUUGUAGAAUGAACCGGCGAGUUACGAUUUGAUGCAAGGUUAAGCAGUAAAUGUGGAGCCGUAGCGAAAGCGAGUCUGAAUAGGGCGUUUAGUAUUUGGUCGUAGACCCGAAACCAGGUGAUCUACCCUUGGUCAGGUUGAAGUUCAGGUAACACUGAAUGGAGGACCGAACCGACUUACGUUGAAAAGUGAGCGGAUGAACUGAGGGUAGCGGAGAAAUUCCAAUCGAACCUGGAGAUAGCUGGUUCUCUCCGAAAUAGCUUUAGGGCUAGCCUCAAGUGAUGAUUAUUGGAGGUAGAGCACUGUUUGGACGAGGGCCCCUCUCGGGUUACCGAAUUCAGACAAACUCCGAAUGCCAAUUAAUUUAACUUGGGAGUCAGAACAUGGGUGAUAAGGUCCGUGUUCGAAAGGGAAACAGCCCAGACCACCAGCUAAGGUCCCAAAAUAUAUGUUAAGUGGAAAAGGAUGUGGCGUUGCCCAGACAACUAGGAUGUUGGCUUAGAAGCAGCCAUCAUUUAAAGAGUGCGUAAUAGCUCACUAGUCGAGUGACACUGCGCCGAAAAUGUACCGGGGCUAAACAUAUUACCGAAGCUGUGGAUUGUCCUUUGGACAAUGGUAGGAGAGCGUUCUAAGGGCGUUGAAGCAUGAUCGUAAGGACAUGUGGAGCGCUUAGAAGUGAGAAUGCCGGUGUGAGUAGCGAAAGACGGGUGAGAAUCCCGUCCACCGAUUGACUAAGGUUUCCAGAGGAAGGCUCGUCCGCUCUGGGUUAGUCGGGUCCUAAGCUGAGGCCGACAGGCGUAGGCGAUGGAUAACAGGUUGAUAUUCCUGUACCACCUAUAAUCGUUUUAAUCGAUGGGGGACGCAGUAGGAUAGGCGAAGCGUGCGAUUGGAUUGCACGUCUAAGCAGUAAGGCUGAGUAUUAGGCAAAUCCGGUACUCGUUAAGGCUGAGCUGUGAUGGGGAGAAGACAUUGAGUCUUCGAGUCGUUGAUUUCACACUGCCGAGAAAAGCCUCUAGAUAGAAAAUAGGUGCCCGUACCGCAAACCGACACAGGUAGUCAAGAUGAGAAUUCUAAGGUGAGCGAGCGAACUCUCGUUAAGGAACUCGGCAAAAUGACCCCGUAACUUCGGGAGAAGGGGUGCUCUUUAGGGUUAACGCCCAGAAGAGCCGCAGUGAAUAGGCCCAAGCGACUGUUUAUCAAAAACACAGGUCUCUGCUAAACCGUAAGGUGAUGUAUAGGGGCUGACGCCUGCCCGGUGCUGGAAGGUUAAGAGGAGUGGUUAGCUUCUGCGAAGCUACGAAUCGAAGCCCCAGUAAACGGCGGCCGUAACUAUAACGGUCCUAAGGUAGCGAAAUUCCUUGUCGGGUAAGUUCCGACCCGCACGAAAGGCGUAACGAUUUGGGCACUGUCUCAACGAGAGACUCGGUGAAAUCAUAGUACCUGUGAAGAUGCAGGUUACCCGCGACAGGACGGAAAGACCCCGUGGAGCUUUACUGUAGCCUGAUAUUGAAAUUCGGCACAGCUUGUACAGGAUAGGUAGGAGCCUUUGAAACGUGAGCGCUAGCUUACGUGGAGGCGCUGGUGGGAUACUACCCUAGCUGUGUUGGCUUUCUAACCCGCACCACUUAUCGUGGUGGGAGACAGUGUCAAGCGGGCAGUUUGACUGGGGCGGUCGCCUCCUAAAAGGUAACGGAGGCGCUCAAAGGUUCCCUCAGAAUGGUUGGAAAUCAUUCAUAGAGUGCAAAGGCAUAAGGGAGCUUGACUGCGAGACCUACAAGUCGAGCAGGGUCGAAAGACGGACUUAGUGAUCCGGUGGUUCCGCAUGGAAGGGCCAUCGCUCAACGGAUAAAAGCUACCCCGGGGAUAACAGGCUUAUCUCCCCCAAGAGUUCACAUCGACGGGGAGGUUUGGCACCUCGAUGUCGGCUCAUCGCAUCCUGGGGCUGUAGUCGGUCCCAAGGGUUGGGCUGUUCGCCCAUUAAAGCGGUACGCGAGCUGGGUUCAGAACGUCGUGAGACAGUUCGGUCCCUAUCCGUCGUGGGCGUAGGAAAUUUGAGAGGAGCUGUCCUUAGUACGAGAGGACCGGGAUGGACAUACCUCUGGUGUACCAGUUGUCGUGCCAACGGCAUAGCUGGGUAGCUAUGUGUGGACGGGAUAAGUGCUGAAAGCAUCUAAGCAUGAAGCCCCCCUCAAGAUGAGAUUUCCCAACUUCGGUUAUAAGAUCCCUCAAAGAUGAUGAGGUUAAUAGGUUCGAGGUGGAAGCAUGGUGACAUGUGGAGCUGACGAAUACUAAUCGAUCGAAGACUUAAUCA